Molecule: non-coding RNA, 208 nt
Filed under: Bacillota bacterium
Lineage: Bacteria; Bacillati; Bacillota
Description: 6S RNA
Rfam family: 6S / SsrS RNA
About the family: E. coli 6S RNA was the first non coding RNA to be sequenced, but its function was unknown until recently. It consists of 184 nucleotides that fold into an extended hairpin structure with a large single-stranded internal bulge.
Source: RNAcentral
UUAAUCCUGGAGUGUUCGUGAUAUCCUAAAUUUUGAACCUACAAAUUGUAAACGGGAGUUUGGCGUUUAAAAGUAGAUAGCAGGCCUCAAUCUAAUUCCGACAUUCAUUAAGAAUGCAACGGCGGAGGAAGUUAAAAACUUUUAGCAGAACACCCACCUAGCUUGGGCUAGGUGUCAAAAUUCAGGUUGACGGCAUUUUGGGUUAAAU